UACGUAGGGUGCUAGCGUUGUCCGGAUUUAUUGGGCGUAAAGGGCUCGUAGGCGGCGUGUCGCGUCGGGAGUGAAAGCCCGCUGCUUAACGGCGGGUUGGCUUCCGGUACGGGCAUCGCUGGAGUGCGGCAGGGGAGACUGGAAUUCCUGGUGUAGCAGUGAAAUGCGUAGAUAUCAGGAGGAAUACCGAUGGCGAAGGCAGGUCUCUGGGCUGACACUGACGCUCAUGCACGAAAGCGUGGGGAGCAAAAGGG
RNAcentral lists this ribosomal RNA (254 nucleotides) under uncultured bacterium. RNAcentral describes it as "partial 16S ribosomal RNA". It matches the Rfam family "Bacterial small subunit ribosomal RNA", at positions 524 to 776 of the family's 1533-position model. The record is from RNAcentral.